UCAUGUUCAUGCAAGGAUUCUUGUCUCCCACUUUCAAUAACCUUCUAUAGAAAUAGAAUCACAAACUCGAAUUCAAAGCCUUUGGUAAAAAAAAAAACUUUCUUUCGAGUUGCAGCUAAACCUAACCCGAUUUAAUGUCACCAUCCCAUUGUUGGUUUUCAGGAGUAGUCGACGUAAAAGAAACUAACAUCGAAUCCAAGCGACUUACGGCUGCAGAGAACCUUUGCUCAUCUGUGAAAAUUCUAUAAAUAGUAGCCUCUGGUCAAAAAAUAAGACUUUCCAUAGAUAACAUUGCUUUUAUGCAAGAUAUCGAUUCUAUUCCUCUUUCUUCGAUGAACCCAUACCAAUUCGUUUGACAAACCCACACCAAUUCAAAAAAGAAUCCAAAGAAAGAAAAGCCUUUGAGAGGCAAAACUCUCCCAAAGUUCGCCCUAGCCGCCACAAAUCUCUUUUUCUCCGCUUUCUCUCUCCGGCGGUUGUUUCUUGCCGGAGAGGGUCCUUCUUCUCAUUUUUCUCUUUCGUGCUUCAAUUCUGGCUCUGGGCUGAUGUAAUUCUUAGGUGGAUGUCCCAUUUCUUCUCUCUUGCGAUGCGGUGCCAUGGACAAGCGGCGGAGCUGAGGCGGAUCAAUGGUUGGGACACGUAACUGAAGCUUCUCGAUGUGUUCACGAUCCAGUGAGGUGCCUGCUAUAGAACGGCGGAGCUAAGCUCGGAAGAGUUCACGGAGGGAAGAUCUUAGAUCUAGAUCUGCGACAGGAUUAUGUUUCGUGGGUUUCAAUAGCUUGUGUCGAGGUGUGUUGGCGGGGAUAAGCGGCAGAGCUGAAGCAGAUCGAUGGUUCGGAGACGCAAACAAAGCUUCUCGACGUGUUCAUGAUCUAGUGAGGUGCCUGCUAUAGGACUGUGAAGCUUUGCUUGGAGGAGAUCAUGUUGUGAAGAUUUCUUAGCAGGAGAGAUCAGCUUUGUGGCUUCGGAGGUUGCAUCGCGUGUGGAGGGGAUGGUUUUGCGGCGGAUUUCUUGAACGGUGAUCAGGCCGGCCCAAAGUGAUUUGACGCCUAAAGCGUAGGAUAAAAAUGAUGCCCUUAAUCAAAUUUUUUUUUGCAGCAUAUUUUUGAAUAUUUAAUUAAAAUAAUAUAAAAUAUCAUUGAAACAUAAUUUGUUAUGUGUUUAAGCUUAAGAUCGAUUUUUUUAAAACUCAGAAUCGAUUUUUUGAAGUCCAGAAUCGAUUUUUUGAAGCCCAAAUCGAUUUUUUGAAGUCAAAAUCAAUUUUUUGAAGCCUAAAAUUGAUUUUUUGAAGCCCAAAAUCGAUUUUAUAAACAAAAAUCGAAUUUUUUUUUAAUAUUUGAUAGAGAUAAUGAUUCUUAUUUCUAAGUAAUUUUUUUUUCCCAUUUUUUGGUCUUGAUCGAUGUGGGAUAAAUGUUUUUAAACACACUUGUAAAAAAAUUUUCAGACUUUUUUUGCUACCCCCAAAAUUAGAGUUUUCUGGGCUGCUCUAAAGCCUUUGCUUCAAGGACCUUAGUUGUGGGCCGGCCCUGACGGUGAUGAUCCAGUGAGACGUGGUGGCUGCUAGAGGACGGCGGAGCUAAUCUCGGAGUUUUCCCUGUGAUGGUUUUUGCCGGGUGAUUCCCUUCACUGGAGAGAGACUGGUUGACGCUGGAGAGUCGGUUUGCAAGGGUAGGAAGAAGGUUGAUGUCGGUGGCUGAAGCUUGAGGACGACUUCUCACGGCGUUGUCUUCUCCAUUGCCCAAGGGUUCUUGGUUAUCCAGUUUUUUUCCAUUUUUCAAUUUUCGUAAACCAGUGCCGGUUAUGCCCGGUUUGGGUUGGGUAAGUUUUGCUUUUUUUUUUUUUUUUAAAAGUAACCUUUUUUCUUUAUUAAUGAAAACGCUUUAACAAAAAAAACAAAAAAAGCCAAACCCACACCAAUUCCACAUUAGAUAAAGUAAAAAGGAAACUGUUUUGCAUCACGAACCAACUUAUUCAGACUAUAAUCCAGUAAUCUGAAUCUCCAUAAUCGAGAUUUCCAAAAAAAUAAACCAAAAAAUCAAAGCUUCUAAUCAAAUCGACCAAUUAACUACAAAAAAAAAUAAAAAAAUCUGAUCGACCAAAAAAUUUAAUCAAAAGAAAUUUGGAGUGAAACUCAUUGGAUUGAAUUGGAUAGAAAGAAAUCUGACUGAAAUCAAUUGAAUCCAAUUAAUGAUGAAGGCAUGAAGCUUGAACCCAUGAAUGGAAUCUCGAACAAGUGGGAGAGAAAACGUGGAGGAAGAUCAUCAAAACAGCAUAACAGAGGAAAAUAAAUGUGAGGAAGAUGAGAAUUUUCAGGCGGGAUUAAGGUUGGCAGUUAGGCAACUCUGGUCAUGCACAUUUUGUGACUUGUAGGUUUGUUUAUAAAAAAUAAAUUAGUUGAAGGUUUGGACUAUAAACUCUUUAACUUGGAAACAACUUUGAUAUUUGAAUGUUUUUUUAAUGGUUAUUUUUUGUUGUUGUUUACAUUACUUUUGUAGUUUUAUAGAAACACAUUAUCCUUUUCGUAAUGAGCUUAAUAAAAAAAUUUGCAAAAAUCACAUCGUUAUUUUCGUAGUAGUAAGUUUAACAUCGUCAAUUUUUGAUAAUGAGCUUGCAGUGCACUCUCUAACCCUUUUUGGGUUGAAAACAAGCUCAUUUUCAAUAUUUCAAAGAAGUCAUUGUUUAUUUUGCAAUGAGCUCUCUUGUAAGCCUUCAAAACCUGUCUCUCCCUUGAAGUGAAGAGACCAUCCAAAUACCCAAAAAGUUAUCACUUCUAAUUUGAUCAUGCAGCAUCAAAAGUUUAACCAUUUUAGAAAACAUUUGUUGUAAGUGUUAGAGUAUUUGUUUUUUUUUUAUAAGACAAACAUUGAGUGUUUUUUAUGCAUCUUUUUGGGAACUCCAAAACAAAAGAUGAUUAAACACUAUAAUGCACUAAACAUGUACUGAACCUACAAAUAAACAAUUGGGCUAUUAGUUUCUCACAAAUCUAUUGGGAUUUUUUUGAAGAAAAGAUUUAACUUCAUUAUCGGUAACAAAAUUAAUAGAAACUCUGAAGGCACAUGAAAAACAUGUGGCAGCCCGAGAUAAGAACAUGAUGGAAGGAAAAUUGGCUUAUUCCUACCUAAUCUUUCCGAGAAUGUUAAAUUUAGAUUUGAACAUUUUUUGGGUGAAAACAUACUUAAACGUAACAAAAAUUUGACUUUCAUCUUUAACCAAUUAUUUAUGUGCACAAAACACUUUCCGUCCAUUAUCUGUUAGAACGACGUCAAAUAACGUCUACGUGGCAGCCACGUAAUCUACAACGACAUUUUGAGUUUCCGAGUUUUUUUACAGAAAUUGAUAAAACGUCGUCAUUUUACCAUGAGUCUUAAAACUGAUUAUCAAUAAUCCCGUACGAUAGUCCCACAUCUGGAUCUCGUCACUGUCCAAACAGGCGAGAAUCCAUGGUCUCUUCCUGUGGAAGCUCAGUCCCUUGACAGUUGCACUUUUGGUUUCGAUUUUUGUCAUCGACAUUUUUUCAGACUGGAGAGAUCUCAGCAGAGAAAUGGCUUUUAUGAAGCUCCUCCCGAGUUAGUUAGUGUGCCUGAUUAGAGUUUGUUAGUGUUAAUACAGUUAGUUAAUCACACUGUGUGAUCAAACUCAACAAAAUGAACAUAUUUUUGAUUUAUUUAUUUUUUUAAAAAAUUAGGAUAAAUAUGUAAUUGUUAUACAUCAUAAAACUAAAAAUAUGACACACUAUAUAGUCAAUUUUUAGGAGAAAAUAAAAAGUCGAUAUUAUUUGCCAUACAAUUAUCUUAUACAUAAUUGCGACGAUUUUACGACAACCACAAAAUUUAUAUAAGGGACGCAGAUUUCUUUCUUCCUUCGCUCAUUUCUCACUUCUCCUUCUUUCUCUAAAACCUUUAACCACACUCUCUCUCUCUCUAGAACUUCCCAUCCUCUUCAAAUUUUGUAAGUUUUCUUUAUAACUUUUAAUUGAUUUUUAUUUAUAUUUCGUUAAAUAGAAUUACGGUUUAGAUAGGUUUGGAAUUUAGAAAAAAUUGCAGAUUGCUAUGGCUCCCCGAAGGUUUUACUAUCGGAACCUUUUGACUCCAGCAGAUGGUAGCGGAACGUGGGACUCUACUACGGUGUCCAUCAUCCUGGAGUCCUCAGGAAUGCAAGCCGCCGUAUCUUAGAGCCCGGGAUCUCAACCAGGUUUUGUUCCACCGCCUCCACCACCACCACCACCACCACCACCACC
This 4237-nucleotide long non-coding RNA is filed under the name Eutrema salsugineum. Its description in RNAcentral is "long non-coding RNA (ESAL_LNC000100)". The record is from RNAcentral. Lineage: Eukaryota; Viridiplantae; Streptophyta; Magnoliopsida; Brassicales; Brassicaceae.